AAAACUGAGACAGAACGGAUUGUU
RNAcentral lists this small RNA (24 nucleotides) under Arabidopsis thaliana (thale cress). Lineage: Eukaryota; Viridiplantae; Streptophyta; Magnoliopsida; Brassicales; Brassicaceae. The record is from RNAcentral.